GUAUGGUUAAUAAUUGUAUACAAUUGAAAUAAAUUCGAAGAAUGAAGCGCUAGUGAUGGUAUGUGCUAGGAGCUAGCAGUAUAAAGUCAAAACGACACUAAUAAGAGCUCUGGAUCAGAUUCUGACUUUAAUGCGAUUAAGAAAGUAAUUUACUUGAUUUAAGAACGGAGGGACAAUGCGUACAAAGACGUUUAUGAAUGAAUGAAACUCUUGCCAAGAUCUCGAAUACAUCCAUGUGGUGUUAAGCCUCGUGAAUGAAAAGAUGAAAAAGUAGGAAUAGAAUUGGUCCAGUUAAAAUGAGAAAGGUUUCGGGGACGAAACCUCUUUUAAGGGGGGUAGAUUUGUAACACCCCAAAAAUGAAAACUCAAUAAAACAAGUGAGGAUAAAUAACAAACUUAACAUAAUUAAGGAUUUAUGGCAAGAUGGUAGUGAAAUGUAGUUUAAAGAUUAGAUUUGUAAUUAGCAACUAAGUGAAGGGGGUAAAGUGCAAAGUGAUUAAACUUAAAUUAGUUAAAAAAAAAAAAAACAAAACAAAUUAAACCCCAAACACAGUGAGUGUGUCUGGGGGAACGAUCGAACAAGGAAGGAGGAGGGGGAAACCCUAAACUCAAGAAAUCAAGCAAUUGAAGCCUAAAAUCAUAAGAAAAUCCAGUGCAUGAGCCAUCUUAUCGAUCAUCUAAGCAUACCUAGUGAAGUGGAACGUGUCAAGGAGAGCUCAAGCAUAGGAGGAUAACGGGUCAAGAUAAGGCAAGGUGACAAAUACACUUAUUGGAGUACUCAAGGUUAUGAAUGUCGGACUUUCGAAGUGUUGAUAUAAUAAUGAAACGGUUGAAUGUUGAAAGGAUAAUCGGAUUGAAGUAACUUAUGCGGUUAGAAUAUGCUAUGGACGUUUUAGUUUAUACAACAUUUUAUGUUUGGUCGUCAUCAUCUACCAACGGGUAAAUCCUAAAUUCAGGCGACUUGGAGAAUCGGAGCGAGCGCGUGUUCAUGUUAUGUCAUACCAAACGCUUCCGCUAGCUUGUUCAAAUGUUUUUAGUCCAAAAUUUGUUGUUUUGGUUCUUAGUAGUAUUUUGUCGAAUGAAUCGUAGAAUUGUAUCUAGUUUGUUUAUGUUUAAAACAGGGGUAUGCUCGUUUUAUGGACGGGUCAUGCCCAAUUUUUGUUAAAUUAAUGCACCUGCGUUAUUGAUAUUAUCAUUUAAAAUUACGAAAAGUUGGACACUUUUAAGAAAAUUU
RNAcentral lists this long non-coding RNA (1234 nucleotides) under Helianthus annuus (common sunflower). RNAcentral's name for it is "hypothetical non coding rna". The record is from RNAcentral. Lineage: Eukaryota; Viridiplantae; Streptophyta; Magnoliopsida; Asterales; Asteraceae.